GGACGAACGCUGGCGGCGUGCCUAAUACAUGCAAGUCGAGCGGACUUGUAGGAGCUUGCUCCUGCAGGUUAGCGGCGGACGGGUGAGUAACACGUGGGCAACCUACCUGUAAGACUGGGAUAACUUCGGGAAACCGGAGCUAAUACCGGAUGACAUAAAGGAACUCCUGUUCCUUUAUUGAAAGAUGGCUUCGGCUAUCACUUACAGAUGGGCCCGCGGCGCAUUAGCUAGUUGGUGAGGUAACGGCUCACCAAGGCAACGAUGCGUAGCCGACCUGAGAGGGUGAUCGGCCACACUGGGACUGAGACACGGCCCAGACUCCUACGGGAGGCAGCAGUAGGGAAUCUUCCGCAAUGGACGAAAGUCUGACGGAGCAACGCCGCGUGAACGAUGAAGGCCUUCGGGUCGUAAAGUUCUGUUGUUAGGGAAGAACAAGUGCUAG
RNAcentral lists this ribosomal RNA (442 nucleotides) under Gottfriedia solisilvae. Its description in RNAcentral is "bacterial SSU rRNA". It matches the Rfam family "Bacterial small subunit ribosomal RNA", at positions 27 to 459 of the family's 1533-position model. Lineage: Bacteria; Bacillati; Bacillota; Bacilli; Caryophanales; Bacillaceae. The record is from RNAcentral.